RNAcentral lists this signal recognition particle RNA (298 nucleotides) under Aotus nancymaae (Ma's night monkey). RNAcentral describes it as "Metazoan signal recognition particle RNA (ENSANAG00000005480.1)". It matches the Rfam family "Metazoan signal recognition particle RNA". Rfam says of the family: The signal recognition particle (SRP) is a universally conserved ribonucleoprotein. It is involved in the co-translational targeting of proteins to membranes. Lineage: Eukaryota; Metazoa; Chordata; Mammalia; Primates; Aotidae. The record is from RNAcentral.
GCUGGGUCCGGUGGCACAUGCCUGUAGUCCCAGCUACUCGGGAGGCUGAGGUGGGGGGAUCGCUUGAGCCGAGGAGUUCUGGGCUGCAGUGCGCUAUGCUGAUCGGAUGUCCGCACUAAGUUCGGCAUCAAUAUGGUGACCUCCUGGGAGCGGGGGACCACCAGGUUGCCUAAGGAGGAGUGAACCGGCCCAGGUCGGAAACAGAGCAAGUCAAAACUCCCAUGCUGAUCAGUAGUGGGAUCACACCUGUGAAUAGCCACUGCACUCCAGCCUGGGCAACAUAGCAAGACCUGUCUCU